GACGAACGCUGGCGGCGUGCCUAAUACAUGCAAGUAGAACGCUGAAGGAGGAGCUUGCUUCUCUGGAUGAGUUGCGAACGGGUGAGUAACGCGUAGGUAACCUGCCUGGUAGCGGGGGAUAACUAUUGGAAACGAUAGCUAAUACCGCAUAAGAUUGACUAUUGCAUGAUAGUCAGUUAAAAGGUGCAAUUGCAUCACUACCAGAUGGACCUGCGUUGUAUUAGCUAGUUGGUGGGGUAACGGCUCACCAAGGCGACGAUACAUAGCCGACCUGAGAGGGUGAUCGGCCACACUGGGACUGAGACACGGCCCAGACUCCUACGGGAGGCAGCAGGAGGGAAUCUUCGGCAAUGGACGGAAGUCUGACCGAGCAACGCCGCGUGAGUGAAGAAGGUUUUCGGAUCGUAAAGCUCUGUUGUAAGAGAAGAACGAGUGUGAGAGUGGAAAGUUCACACUGUGACGGUAUCUUACCAGAAAGGGACGGCUAACUACGUG
RNAcentral lists this ribosomal RNA (495 nucleotides) under uncultured bacterium. Its description in RNAcentral is "partial 16S ribosomal RNA". It matches the Rfam family "Bacterial small subunit ribosomal RNA", at positions 28 to 507 of the family's 1533-position model. The record is from RNAcentral.